CCGGCACGGGUGAGUAACACGUAUCCAACCUGCCGUCUACUCUUGGACAGCCUUCUGAAAAGAAGAUUAAUACAAGAUGGCAUCAUGAGUCCGCAUGUUCACAUGAUUAAAGGUAUUCCGGUAGACGAUGGGGAUGCGUUCCAUUAGAUAGUAGGCGGGGUAACGGCCCACCUAGUCUUCGAUGGAUAGGGGUUCUGGGAGGAAGGUCCCCCACAUUGGAACUGAGACACGGUCCAA
Molecule: ribosomal RNA, 237 nt
Filed under: uncultured bacterium
Lineage: Bacteria
Description: partial 16S ribosomal RNA
Rfam family: Bacterial small subunit ribosomal RNA
Source: RNAcentral